AUGUUAUCAAGAAAGGUGGAGAGAUUAGACUCUGUGAAACCUUGGCAACCUCUCGCGUUUCUGAAACGAGAAAAGGUGCUACAUUCUACUCAUUUUUGGGAUAGAUAACAC
RNAcentral lists this non-coding RNA (111 nucleotides) under Cloacibacterium normanense. Its description in RNAcentral is "SAM-I sequence". It matches the Rfam family "SAM riboswitch aptamer (S box leader)". Rfam says of the family: The SAM riboswitch is found upstream of a number of genes which code for proteins involved in methionine or cysteine biosynthesis in Gram-positive bacteria. The SAM riboswitch acts at the level of transcription termination control. Lineage: Bacteria; Pseudomonadati; Bacteroidota; Flavobacteriia; Flavobacteriales; Weeksellaceae. The record is from Rfam by way of RNAcentral.